GCAUUUUAAACAAGAGCAAUUCUCCAAUAAUGAUUUUUUUUUUUUUUUUUAAAUUCAUUAAAUAACGACACGUCAUACUUUUUAUCCGUUUAGAGAUACGUUUAAUGUUGUGGAAUGUCCAGGAGUUAGUUUGUCAGUUCUAGUGUGUUGUUGUUUCUAUAGUAACAGCUUACAUAUAGUGGACACUGUACAUAAACAAAUGUAAAGACACCGUUAGUUAACAUUUUUCAAAGGAGUCUCCAGCGUCAGCAAUUUUUUUUAACGGUCAUAUCUAAAACCACCGUCUUAAUUUAUAAUCGAUAAACACUGGGGAAAACCAGAGUAAGUUCAUAAGCUGUAUGAAGCUGUUUUCUUUGGAUAAGGAAAUAUUUCACAUUAAAAUGAUCACACGCUCAGAUGUAGAGAGAAAGGAAAACACGUUCAUCACACUUCCAUCUGAUGUCUGCGGUCCAAUUUAUUCUUCGAGUCCUUGAGUCUUCCCUCUGCAGUGAAUCUAUUGACCAAAUAUACGGCCGGACGCAUUUAGUGAAAAAUGAGGACUGCGUACAAGCAAAAGCCCCCAAACCCACUGAAAGAUAUUGUGGUGGAUCGGUGAUGCAUGGGGCCAUUUUGUGUCUGGUCAUUCAGGGACGCUUGCGAAGAUCGAUGGCAUCACCUGGCUGCCUGUGCCAUGAGGCUUAAACAUAAUUGGAUCUUUCAACAGGAUAAUGAGCAAAAUAUAUAUCCAUUUUUGUGGACACAAAAUCAAUGUUUUGCAUCUCCUCUUGUCAGAAUUAAAGAGAAAAGUCCACAUAUACAGAAGAAAGUAUAUAAAGGAUGUUAAAACACUUUGCACGAAGGUGUGGCUGAAGACAUUCUACACGACUCAAACCUUAUACAUUACAAGAAGAGGCGCAGUUUGGUUGCUGCUAGGAUGACUCCCUCAAGCAGACAUCUUUUGCGCUUUUAGUAUGCAUCAUUUACCUUGAAAGGUGCAUAUGAUGUCCAUUUAAAGCUUAAAAGUACAUCCUAGUCCAUUAAACUCUUUUGUAAAGGUAUAUUAUAUUUACAUUUCCAGAUAAAAGAUAUGUUAAAAAGGUACAAAAGGAUAAGGAUACCCCUCUAGCGACAAGAAAAGGUAGAAUUAGUACUACGUUUUUCUGCCAGUGUAACGUGCCAAUACUUUUGAAACAGCACCCACGUUUAAGUACGUUAUAUAUUUUUGCUCACGUUGACAAUAAUUCUGUAACUGAAGUGAAAAAGGUGUUUUGGAUUUUCUUCCCCUUUCUUUGUUCUCAAUUGAAUCACCUUUCAAUUCCCACCCACCAGUCAGCUCUUCCCAUCAGAGCACGUUUGACUCACACCUCCAGGGUGUGGGGUUCAAAUUUCCAUCGCUGCCCUGGGUGUAGAGUUUGCAUGUUCUCCCGUGCUGCGGGGGUUUCCUCGUGGUACUCCGGUUUCCUCAUCCACUCCAAAGAUAUG
This is a long non-coding RNA of Ictalurus punctatus (channel catfish), 1461 nucleotides long. RefSeq lists it as uncharacterized. NCBI's taxonomy places the organism in Eukaryota, Metazoa, Chordata, Actinopteri, Siluriformes, Ictaluridae. The record is from RefSeq and is a predicted model, not a curated record. The transcript has 3 exons.